GGUGAACGCUGGCGGUAGGCCUAACACAUGCAAGUCGAGCGGAAGCACAAGAAGCGUUUGCCCUUACGGGUAGCGAGUGGCGGGUGGGUGACGCAUACAUCGGAAUCUUCUUUUUCGUGGGGGAUAUCGUAGGGCAACUUCCGCUAACACCUCAUAAGACCUACGGCUGAAAGCAGUGGAUCUUCAGACCUUGCCCGAUUGAAUGAGCCGAUGUCGGAUUAGCUAGUUGGGGGGGUAAAGGCCCACCAAGGCGACGAUCCGUAGCUGGUCUGAGAGGAUGAUCAGCCACACUGGAACUGAGACACGGUCCAGACUCCUACGGGAGGCAGCAGUCGGGAAUCUUGGCCAAUGGGCGCAAGCCUGACCCAGCCAUACCGCGUGGGUGAAGAAGGUCUUCGGGUUGUAAAGCCCUUUUGUUGGGAAAGAACAGCAGCAGGUGAAAACCUCGCUGUUCUGACGGUACCCAAUGAAUAAGCCCCGGCUAACUUCGUG
Molecule: ribosomal RNA, 492 nt
Filed under: uncultured bacterium
Lineage: Bacteria
Description: partial 16S ribosomal RNA
Rfam family: Bacterial small subunit ribosomal RNA
Source: RNAcentral